RNAcentral lists this ribosomal RNA (429 nucleotides) under uncultured bacterium. RNAcentral describes it as "bacterial SSU rRNA". It matches the Rfam family "Bacterial small subunit ribosomal RNA", at positions 917 to 1344 of the family's 1533-position model. The record is from RNAcentral.
GGACCCGCACAAGUAGUGGAGCAUGUGGUUUAAUUCGAAGAUACGCGCAGAACCUUACCAACACUUGACAUGUUCGUCGCGACUCUAAGAGAUUAGAGUUUUCGGUUCGGCCGGACGAAACACAGGUGCUGCAUGGCUGUCGUCAGCUCGUGUCGUGAGAUGUUGGGUUAAGUCCCGCAACGAGCGCAACCCUCACUUUUAGUUGCCAUCAUUUAGUUGGGCACUCUGAAAGAACUGCCAGUGAUAAGCUGGAGGAAGGUGGGGAUGACGUCAAGUCCUCAUGGCCCUUACGUGUUGGGCUACACACGUGCUACAAUGGCAUUUACAAUAGGAAGCAAGACGGCGACGUUAAGCAAAUCCUAAAAAAAUGCCUCAGUUCGGAUUGUACUCUGCAACUCGAGUACAUGAAGCUGGAAUUACUAGUAAUCG